This 526-nucleotide ribosomal RNA is filed under the name uncultured bacterium. Its description in RNAcentral is "bacterial SSU rRNA". It matches the Rfam family "Bacterial small subunit ribosomal RNA", at positions 29 to 518 of the family's 1533-position model. The record is from RNAcentral.
ACGAACGCUGGCGGCGUGCCUAAUACAUGCAAGUCGAGCGCGGGAAGCGGACUCGUCACCCUUCGGGUGUCUAGUCCGUGGAACGAGCGGCGGAUGGGUGAGUAUCACGUGGGCAACCUGCCUGUAAGAUUGGGAUAACUCGCGGAAACGUGAGCUAAUACCGAAUGAAGUCUUUCACCACCUGGUGAAAGGAUGAAAGAUGGCUUUUAGCUAUCACUUACAGAUGGGCCCGCGGCGCAUUAGCUAGUUGGUGGGGUAAAGGCCUACCAAGGCGACGAUGCGUAGCCGACCUGAGAGGGUGAUCGGCCACACUGGGACUGAGACACGGCCCAGACUCCUACGGGAGGCAGCAGUAGGGAAUCUUCCGCAAUGGACGAAAGUCUGACGGAGCAACGCCGCGUGAAGUGAUGAAGGUCUUCGGAUCGUAAAACUCUGUUGUCAGGGAAGAACAAGUUGUGUUCUAACAGGACAUGACCUUGACGGUACCUGACCAGAAAGCCCCGGCUAACUACGUGCCAGCCGCCGC